GACGAACGCUGGCGGCGUGCUUAACACAUGCAAGUCGAACGGAAAGGCCCUGCUUUUGUGGGGUGCUCGAGUGGCGAACGGGUGAGUAACACGUGAGUAACCUGCCCUUGACUUUGGGAUAACUUCAGGAAACUGGGGCUAAUACCGGAUAGGAGCUCCUGCUGCAUGGUGGGGGUUGGAAAGUUUCGGCGGUUGGGGAUGGACUCGCGGCUUAUCAGCUUGUUGGUGGGGUAGUGGCUUACCAAGGCUUUGACGGGUAGCCGGCCUGAGAGGGUGACCGGCCACAUUGGGACUGAGAUACGGCCCAGACUCCUACUGGAGGCAGCAGUGGGGAAUAUUGCACAAUGGGCGGAAGCCUGAUGCAGCAACGCCGCGUGCGGGAUGACGGCCUUCGGGUUGUAAACCGCUUUCGCCUGUGACGAAGCGUGAGUGACGGUAAUGGGUAAAGAGGCACCGGCUAACUACGUG
Molecule: ribosomal RNA, 468 nt
Filed under: uncultured bacterium
Lineage: Bacteria
Description: partial 16S ribosomal RNA
Rfam family: Bacterial small subunit ribosomal RNA
Source: RNAcentral